AUACGGAGGAUCCGAGCGUUAUCCGGAUUUAUUGGGUUUAAAGGGUGCGCAGGCGGCCAUUUAAGUCAGCGGUUAAAUCGUGGGGCUCAACCCCAUUCUGCCGUUGAUACUGGGUGGCUUGAUUGCGGUCGAGGUUGGCGGAAUUCGUUGUGUAGCGGUGAAAUGCAUAGAUAUCACGAAGAACUCCGAUUGCGAAGGCAGCUCACUGGACUGCAACUGACACUGAUGCUCGAAAGUGUGGGCAUCAAACAGGAUUAGAUACCCUGGUAGUCCACACAGUAAACGAUGAAUACUCGCUGUUUGCGAUAUACAGUAAGCGGCCAAGCGAAAGCAUUAAGUAUUCCACCUGGGGAGUACGCCGGCAACGGUGAAACUUAAAGGAAUUGACGGGG
This 392-nucleotide ribosomal RNA is filed under the name uncultured bacterium. Its description in RNAcentral is "partial 16S ribosomal RNA". It matches the Rfam family "Bacterial small subunit ribosomal RNA", at positions 523 to 918 of the family's 1533-position model. The record is from RNAcentral.